UUCUUCGUGUGUAGUGGUUAGCACGCUCGACUCGUCACCGAGAGGUCCGUGGUUCGAUUCCCGGCGAAGGCG
This 72-nucleotide transfer RNA is filed under the name Stegodyphus mimosarum. It matches the Rfam family "tRNA". Rfam says of the family: Transfer RNA (tRNA) molecules are approximately 80 nucleotides in length. The record is from Rfam by way of RNAcentral. Lineage: Eukaryota; Metazoa; Arthropoda; Arachnida; Araneae; Eresidae.